GUGAAAGUGGCUCAGUGGUAGAGCGAUUGCCUUGCAUGCAUAAGGCCCUAGGUUCAAUUCCUCAGCACCACA
This 72-nucleotide transfer RNA is filed under the name Dipodomys ordii (Ord's kangaroo rat). It matches the Rfam family "tRNA". From Rfam's summary of the family: Transfer RNA (tRNA) molecules are approximately 80 nucleotides in length. Their secondary structure includes four short double-helical elements and three loops (D, anti-codon, and T loops). Lineage: Eukaryota; Metazoa; Chordata; Mammalia; Rodentia; Heteromyidae. The record is from Rfam by way of RNAcentral.